Molecule: ribosomal RNA, 497 nt
Filed under: uncultured bacterium
Lineage: Bacteria
Description: partial 16S ribosomal RNA
Rfam family: Bacterial small subunit ribosomal RNA
Source: RNAcentral
GAUGAACGCUGGCGGCGUGCCUAAUACAUGCAAGUCGAGCGAACAGACGAGGAGCUUGCUCCUCUGACGUUAGCGGCGGACGGGUGAGUAACACGUAGAUAACCUACCUAUAAGACUGGGAUAACUUCGGGAAACCGGAGCUAAUACCGGAUAAUAUAUUGAACCGCAUGGUUCAAUAGUGAAAGACGGUUUUGCUGUCACUUAUAGAUGGAUCCGCGCCGCAUUAGCUAGUUGGUAAGUUAACGGCUUACCAAGGCAACGAUGCGUAGCCGACCUGAGAGGGUGAUCGGCCACACUGGAACUGAGACACGGUCCAGACUCCUACGGGAGGCAGCAGUAGGGAAUCUUCCGCAAUGGGCGAAAGCCUGACGGAGCAACGCCGCGUGAGUGAUGAAGGUCUUCUGAUCGUAAAACUCUGUUAUUAGGGAAGAACAAAUGUGUAAGUAACUAUGCACGUCUUGACGGUACCUAAUCAGAAAGCCACGGCUAACUACGUG